AAUAAGAUCAUGUUUUAGUUUUUAGAUAUAAUACUCUAACUAUUCGUCUUAUUUAAAUUUUUUUGCGAUUAAUAUUUUUAUUGUUACUAGAUGAUAAAAUAUGAAUAAUACUUUAUACGUGACUAAUUUUUUUAAAGUUUUGUGCAUAAUUUUCAUAUAAGACGAUGGUCAAACUUUGAACACAGAAGUCAACAAAUAAAGUUAUU
RNAcentral lists this microRNA precursor (206 nucleotides) under Oryza brachyantha (malo sina). RNAcentral's name for it is "MIR812 microRNA precursor family". It matches the Rfam family "MIR812 microRNA precursor family". Lineage: Eukaryota; Viridiplantae; Streptophyta; Magnoliopsida; Poales; Poaceae. The record is from Rfam by way of RNAcentral.